RNAcentral lists this ribosomal RNA (454 nucleotides) under uncultured bacterium. RNAcentral's name for it is "partial 16S ribosomal RNA". It matches the Rfam family "Bacterial small subunit ribosomal RNA", at positions 341 to 792 of the family's 1533-position model. The record is from RNAcentral.
ACGGAAGGCAGCAGUGAGGAAUAUUGGUCAAUGGACGGAAGUCUGAACCAGCCAAGUAGCGUGAGGGAUGACGGCCCUAUGGGUUGUAAACCUCUUUUGCAGUGGAAUAAAGUGCGUCACGCGUGGUGCAUUGCAUGUACCCUGCGAAUAAGGAUCAGCUAACUCCGUGCCAGCAGCCGCGGUAAUACGGAGGAUCCGAGCGUUAUCCGGAUUUAUUGGGUUUAAAGGGAGCGUAGGCGGGAUGUCAAGUCAGCUGUGAAAUGUAGUCGCUCAACGUCUGCACUGCGGUUGAAACUGGUGUUCUUGAGUGCGUAAGAGGCAGGUGGAAUUCGUCGUGUAGCGGUGAAAUGCUUAGAUAUGACGAAGAACUCCGAUUGCGAAGGCAGCCUGCUGGGCCGCUACUGACGCUGAAGCUCGAAGGUGCGGGUAUCAAACAGGAUUAGAUACCCUGGUA